CACACACUGGCUUUUAUGCAAGUCCCCAUGCAAGGGGACAUCCCACAGGGUGGGACCCAGUAUAACCAAUCACAGACAAUACAAACAAAACACUCCCACAGUGACAUCACAAUCCCUCCUCUCUAUCCUGGAGAUAAUUGGGAAGUAAUUAAAUUAUCUCCCAGGACAGAGGCAAGACUCCAUUAACCACAUGGUUACAAAAAGACAUAAAAUUACACGUUACAAUUACUAUAUAAAACAUAUACAUGCAACAUAUCCCCAGAUAGCUUAGAUUUGAGUGCACAUUAGUAUUGAAUGGCGCUCAGAUCACAUACAUACAAUUCAAUCGCCAUGGAGCCAAAGUCUUUUCCAUAGUCUUUUGUUACACAAAUAGGCUCCAUGGCAUAGCUAUCUGGGAUAGCACUACUACCAUCCUGAAAGACCAGAACGCCCCAGCAGAAAUACACAAAUAAACCUUUCUGCAGGGGAAAAUACCGCUAUCAGCACAUGGGCCAUAGUCGGAAGGCAGGAGGCUAGCCAGUAGUCCCCUCCAGGCACAAGUGGCGAAGGGCACUUCGUCACACAACCCAUCUCCCAACAGUGCACGAGGCUGCUCUACCUGACCCUGACUACACUCUGUUUGUGGAUGGUUCUAGAUUUGCAGAUGUGCAGGGACAAUAUCAUACCGGAUAUGCAUUCACCACAGAGGACCAAAUACUCCAAGCAUCUUCUCCCAUCAUCUAAGUCAGCACAAGAAGCCGAACUAAUAGCCCUUACGGUGGCACGCAAGAUGUCUGAAGGGAAGCGUGUUAAUAUUUAUACAGAUUCAAGGUAUGCCCUGGGCGUGGCACAUGACUUUGGCUUAAUCUGGAAAACCAGGGGGGUUCCUUACAGCAACAGGUACUCCUGUGAAACAUGGCGCAGCUAUCAAAGACUUGAUGGAUGCCUUACUACUUCCUGAAGAGGUGGCCAUACUGAAGGUAAUGGCCCACGGGAGACUGAAUUCAGAAGAAGCACAUUUAGCUGACCAGGCUGCUAAGGAUGCGGCACGCCAGUGUCGGGAAAUAAACAGAAGAGUGUCUGUCGAAGAGACUCCUAUUUACACUAUGCAAACCCUACCCACUGAUCUCAAGCUCCUAAGAGAACAACAGGCCGCCGUCACCCCACAAGAAAAACAAAACUGGAAAGACAAAGGAGCAACCCUCCAGAAUGAAGUAUACACGAUCAACCUCAAAUUCUGUCUACCCAAGAAUAUGUAUCCAGCUGUCGUUCAGUGGGCCCAUGGACCAGCUCAUUUAUCUAAGCACCUCAUGAACUCUUUGAUUGAUAAAUAUUUUGAAGCACCCGGAAUCACCACCAUGACACGAAAUUACUGCAGAUCCUGUACCAUCUGCGCCAGAUGUAAUCCAGGGAAAAUAAUUAAUUAAAGCGGCACCAAACCAUUUGGCCAAACCACAGUACCCUUGCCAGAGGAUUCAAAUUGAUCAUAUCCAAAUGCCAAAGAGUGGCCGGUAUGAAUACGCACUGGUCAUAGUGGAUAUGUUUUCAGGAUGGCCAGAAGCUUUUCCGGUCGCUAAUCUCACUGCAAAGACCACGGCGAAGCGUCUACUUACCAAAAUUAUCUGCAGAUACGGAGUUCCUGAAGUAAUUGAAAGUGACCAGGGUACAUCCUUCACUGUGUUGCACUGGGGGUGACCCUUGCAUUCCACACACCCUAUCACCCACAGAGUAGUGGUAAGGUAGAACGCAUGAAUGGCACUCUGAAAGCCAGAAUGCUUAAAAUGUCCCAAGAAACUAACCUACCCUGGCCGGAGAGUCUUCCCAUAGCAUUGUUUAGUGUAAGGUACACCCCAAGAGGGAGUUUUAGCUUAUCCCCCUACGAAAUCUUAUUUGGAACAGCACCCAGGUUAGGCUGUUAUUUCCCUCAGCAACUUCAAAUUCAGUCAGAUGCAAUGGUAGAUUAUAUAACUCAACUCUCUCAUGCCUUGACCAAAAUCCAUUCACAGGUGUUUUCUUCUAUUCCAGAUCCAGAGUCAAAUACAGGCACACAUAAGCUACUUCCUGGUGACUGGGUCAUGGUCAAGAAGUUCCUAAGAAAACACACCUUAGAGCCAAAGUUCAAUGGUCCAUUCCCAGUCCUAUUGACUACAUCUACCUCUGUAAAGUUGGUCGGGAAGAAUACCUGGAUACACGCCUCGCACUGCAAGAAAGUUCCUGAUCCAGAGGAAGCAGAUUCCGCCAAAUCAUGAGCUUCCUGUGCCUGUUUCUGCUGCUAGGCCUAUCAAAGGCCCAACGAGUUGCUAUCACCAAAGACAAUCAUGUUUACACAUUUUGGUAUAAUUCUUCAAACACACACGUAGCUACUUUCGCCUUUGAUUACUGUGAUAUUGUCUCUUGUACUUUUCCACAAUCACAACACUCAGCAAUAUACAAAGACAUACCAAACAAAAAGUACCCAUAUAUUUGUGUGACAGGUGACCAUUGGGGACAUCACUGUAGUACCUGGAAAGCAGCAGGUUGGAAUACGGGCCGACCAUGGGGCUACAGACCACAAAGUGCCUUAGAUAGGGUUGACAGAUACGGGAAACCCUUGUUAUAAAGAAUGACCUUAUGCAAGCCAACAGGGUCUACCCCAAUGAAGCUCACCUUAAACAUAGAACAUCCCAGCCCAGGAGACGCUGGGGAGUACGUAAUGGGAAUGUAUUGGAAAAGGGGUGGCUCAUAUAACAAGUUGGGAACCUUCUUGUGAGGAACUGACUCUGCUGGGUUUCGAACCCCGGUUUACAUGGUGCUAAACCUCUUCCUUACCAGUACACCAGCCUGCCUUUUGGAAAUUUACCUGAGGUCUGAUACCAUUGCUUGUAGAGUCAAGGUUAUCAGUGACAACUCUCUUCAGCUGUGUCUGGUCAGGUGUCUGGUUCUUGGCCUAUAAAAGCCACUUCCUGUCUCUGUACCUUUGCCAGAUUAUUGUGGUUCCUGUACUCUCUAAUCCAGCGUGUUCCUGUUUCUCCUUCCUGUUGCUGAAUUUGGAUUGUUUUGACUUUGCUGCUUCUCCUUCCCACUGACCUCGGCUUGCCUCACUACGAUUAUCAUCUUUCUGUUCCAGUCUCCCAUCUCUGCUUAAGACCAGAAGGCCACUCAAG
Molecule: long non-coding RNA, 3122 nt
Filed under: Pelobates cultripes (western spadefoot toad)
Lineage: Eukaryota; Metazoa; Chordata; Amphibia; Anura; Pelobatidae
Source: RNAcentral